AUUAAUAAUCAAGGGUCGGGCACCCAACAAAUUAAU
Flavobacteriaceae bacterium is the source of this 36-nucleotide regulatory RNA element. It matches the Rfam family "S16-Flavobacteria ribosomal protein leader". Lineage: Bacteria; Pseudomonadati; Bacteroidota; Flavobacteriia; Flavobacteriales; Flavobacteriaceae. The record is from Rfam.